This 417-nucleotide ribosomal RNA is filed under the name uncultured bacterium. RNAcentral describes it as "bacterial SSU rRNA". It matches the Rfam family "Bacterial small subunit ribosomal RNA", at positions 355 to 787 of the family's 1533-position model. The record is from RNAcentral.
UGGGGAAUAUUGCACAAUGGGCGAAAGCCUGAUGCAGCGACGCCGCGUGAGCGAAGAAGUAUUUCGGUAUGUAAAGCUCUAUCAGCAGGGAAGAAAAUGACGGUACCUGACUAAGAAGCUCCGGCUAAAUACGUGCCAGCAGCCGCGGUAAUACGUAGGUGGCAAGCGUUAUCCGGAUUUACUGGGUGUAAAGGGCGUGUAGGCGGGAUCGCAAGUCAGAUGUGAAAACUGGAGGCUCAACCUCCAGCCUGCAUUUGAAACUGUGGUUCUUGAGUACUGGAGAGGCAGACGGAAUUCCUAGUGUAGCGGUGAAAUGCGUAGAUAUUAGGAGGAACACCAGUGGCGAAGGCGGUCUGCUGGACAGCAACUGACGCUGAGGCGCGAAAAGCGUGGGGAGCAAAACAGGAUUAGAUACCC